Molecule: long non-coding RNA, 715 nt
Filed under: Monodelphis domestica (gray short-tailed opossum)
Lineage: Eukaryota; Metazoa; Chordata; Mammalia; Didelphimorphia; Didelphidae
Description: lncRNA (ENSMODG00000045162.1)
Source: RNAcentral
GACUGCAGUCAGACCAUUGGAGAGAAUCAUAAAGGGCAAGGGAAAGAAGGAAGGACAGGUCACAUGUUAAGAGAGGAAAAGGAGAUAAAGCCAGGAUGGCUUCAGCUACUGACUCCUUGUGGAAACAAAGCUUCUAUUAGCCCAUAGAAAAUGAGAAGUCUCCGAGGAUACUGAAAAAGGUUAUCAUGUGUUCAAGUCUUUAGACUCAAGGAUCAUAAAAGACUAUUGAGAGAUGAAAAGAAGAAGAAACCAUGAAAUGGAUGAUGUGGUCCCUAGGAGAUUCUGGAGCUGAAAGCAUGGUAUUCUUAAAGAGGAGAUGGAAAUAAGAUCCUUCCAGUCAUUGCCUGUGAUUUACACCUAGCUCCUGUACACCUCUCACCUUGGAAUCCUUCCUCCUAUCUCCCCUUCAAAGGAUGCUUGUUUCAUCUCAGAGAUGCUGGUAGGUUAAUUGCUUGCUCCCCACAUGAAAACAAGCUCCAAAAAAAUGAAUAAAGGACAAGGGACUCAACUGAGUGACAGAAGACAAUACAAGAACUGAUGUCUGACAAAACUGGAAUGACACCUCUGAUAACAGACUGGCACAGUUAGCAUCUUCUUCCCAAGCACUACAAAUUACCCAACUGUGGGGGGGAUGGGCAAGGCAGAAAUAAUCACUACCUGCAAAACAAUUUCACACUAGAAUAAACAGAGAAGAGAUAAAAUAAUAAAUGUAUUU